RNAcentral lists this ribosomal RNA (202 nucleotides) under uncultured bacterium. Its description in RNAcentral is "partial 16S ribosomal RNA". It matches the Rfam family "Bacterial small subunit ribosomal RNA", at positions 1299 to 1500 of the family's 1533-position model. The record is from RNAcentral.
UGCAGUCUGCAACUCGACUGCAUGAAGUCGGAAUCGCUAGUAAUCGCGGAUCAGCAUGCCGCGGUGAAUACGUUCCCGGGCCUUGUACACACCGCCCGUCACACCAUGAGAGUCGGGAACACCCGAAGUCCGUAGCCUAACCGCAAGGGGGGCGCGGCCGAAGGUGGGUUCGAUAAUUGGGGUGAAGUCGUAACAAGGUAUC